Molecule: non-coding RNA, 82 nt
Filed under: human gut metagenome
Description: TPP riboswitch (THI element)
Rfam family: TPP riboswitch aptamer (THI element)
About the family: Vitamin B(1) in its active form thiamin pyrophosphate (TPP) is an essential coenzyme that is synthesised by coupling of pyrimidine and thiazole moieties in bacteria. The previously detected thiamin-regulatory element, thi box was extended, resulting in a new, highly conserved RNA secondary structure, the THI element, which is widely distributed in eubacteria and also occurs in some archaea.
Source: RNAcentral
GCACAGGGGAGCUUUUGCUGAGACGGCUUUUUUAGCCGGACCCUUUGACCUGAUCCGGACAAUACCGGCGUAGGGAGUGUUA